GGAUGUGAGCGCUAUCUGGCUGUGACAUCUGUCACCCCAUUGAUUGCCAGGGUUGAUUCGGCUGAUCUGGCUGGCUAGGCUGGUAUCCUCUUCCUUCCUCACCACUCCAUGUACAUCCCUCCUGAAACUUUGCGCUACGUUGAAGAGAUCGGCCUUCCCGGAAUAGAGAUGGACCAGUCUUCAGUCGAGGGUAUACGAGUAGCUGUGCUCCCCUGCUAGAACCUCCAAACAGCUCUCAAAUACACACACACACACACACACACACACACAUACAUACAUACAUAUAUAUCAUUUUAU
Molecule: small nuclear RNA, 297 nt
Filed under: Sorex araneus (European shrew)
Lineage: Eukaryota; Metazoa; Chordata; Mammalia; Eulipotyphla; Soricidae
Description: 7SK RNA (ENSSARG00000017779.1)
Rfam family: 7SK RNA
About the family: 7SK was discovered as an abundant small nuclear RNA in the mid-70s but a possible function has only recently been suggested. Two independent studies have found that 7SK RNA binds the CDK9/cyclin T complex (known as elongation factor P-TEFb). P-TEFb activates transcription by phosphorylating the C-terminal domain of RNA polymerase II.
Source: RNAcentral